UAUCAUUUAGAGGAAGGAGUUGUCGUAACAAGGUUUCCGUAGGUGAACCUGCGGAAGGAUCAUUG
RNAcentral lists this ribosomal RNA (65 nucleotides) under Quercus ilex. RNAcentral's name for it is "partial 18S ribosomal RNA". It matches the Rfam family "Eukaryotic small subunit ribosomal RNA", at positions 1767 to 1831 of the family's 1831-position model. Lineage: Eukaryota; Viridiplantae; Streptophyta; Magnoliopsida; Fagales; Fagaceae. The record is from RNAcentral.